GACGAACGCUGGCGGCGUGCUUAAUACAUGCAAGUCAACUGAACUUAGGAUAGCAAUAUUUUAAGGGAGGUGGCGCACGGGUGAGUAACACGUAGGUAAUCUGCCUUUAGGUCUGACAUAACCUACCGAAGGUAGGCUAAAAUCAGAUGAUGCAGCGGCUCGACAUCGAGACAGUUGUUAAAUCUUCGGAGCCUAAAGAUGAGCCUGCGUCCGAUUAGGUAGUUGGCGGUGUAAUGGACCACCAAGCCUGCGAUCAGUAGCUGGUCUGAGAGGAUGAUCAGCCACACUGGAACUGAGACACGGUCCAGACUCCUACGGGAGGCAGCAGUAAGGAAUAUUGCUCAAUGGCCGAAAGGCUGAAGCAGCAACGCCGCGUGGAGGAUGAAAUACUUUGUAUGUAAACUCUGUAAGAAGGGAAAAUGUUCCGAUUCAUCGGAAUUGAUUGUA
RNAcentral lists this ribosomal RNA (447 nucleotides) under uncultured bacterium. Its description in RNAcentral is "bacterial SSU rRNA". It matches the Rfam family "Bacterial small subunit ribosomal RNA", at positions 28 to 477 of the family's 1533-position model. The record is from RNAcentral.